RNAcentral lists this transfer RNA (69 nucleotides) under Ictidomys tridecemlineatus (thirteen-lined ground squirrel). RNAcentral's name for it is "Spermophilus tridecemlineatus (thirteen-lined ground squirrel) tRNA". It matches the Rfam family "tRNA". From Rfam's summary of the family: Transfer RNA (tRNA) molecules are approximately 80 nucleotides in length. The record is from Rfam by way of RNAcentral. Lineage: Eukaryota; Metazoa; Chordata; Mammalia; Rodentia; Sciuridae.
GGGGUUGUAUCUCAGUGGUAGAGCACUUGCCUCACAUGCAUGAGGCCCUGGGUUCAAUCCUCAGCACCA